Small nucleolar RNA from Pseudophryne corroboree (corroboree frog), 89 nucleotides. NCBI's taxonomy places the organism in Eukaryota, Metazoa, Chordata, Amphibia, Anura, Myobatrachidae. The record is from RefSeq and is a predicted model, not a curated record.
CUGUCCCUAUGAUGUCAGCACUGGGCUCUGAGACUUGUGAGUGAGAACUGUGCCCCGCUGUCCUGACAUGCAGUGGGACUGAGGGACAG